Pezoporus flaviventris is the source of this 1807-nucleotide long non-coding RNA. RefSeq lists it as uncharacterized. The record is from RefSeq and is a predicted model, not a curated record. The transcript has 3 exons. Lineage: Eukaryota; Metazoa; Chordata; Aves; Psittaciformes; Psittacidae.
UGAGUUUUCUUGUCAGUUUUCCUACCGUUGUGGAAGUUCUGCCUUUCAUUGGACGUAUGAGAAAAUUUAAAGAGCAUCUUCAGCAGCUCAGGAUUUUUUCCACAUAGUGAAGCAGACUCAGCUUCGAAGACUUCCAAAAGCUGAUCAGAAAUUUAACACCAGGUUUAUCACUUACAGUAUAUCCAUAAAUCCUGCAGUUCACAUUUGGAUGGCCUGAAUGCCUCCAGAGUCUCUCUGGCUAAUUACCAAAGAGAUUUAACUGCCUCUGACAGUCAUUCAGAGGGUCUGAAUCAAAUCAUGAAUCAUCUGCCCUUAUUCACGCACUGGAACUGGGGUGCAGUUCUUGCCCCCUAAAAAUUUUACCAUAUUUUUCCUGGUCCUGUCAAGGGUCCGAAUCCCAUUUUGGGAAUACUUUUCUUUUUUGUAAGGUGAAAGCUGUUAAGAAAACCUUCACUUAAAGCCUAAUGUGAAAGGAUAUUGAAGAAAAAUGCUGACAAAACCAUCAAAAUCUAAUCCAGUGAGAGCUCAUUAGUUUCUUUUUUUUGGAAAAAAACAUGUCAGAAUGGAACGUUUUCAUUUAGAUGAAUACCUAAAUCUUCUGAGUACAAUAAAGGUAUUUCCCAGCAUUUUAAAAUAAGAAUAUAGGCACUUAGCAUAUAAGGUGGGAGGGGUUUACUCAGAGGUUCUUUUGACUUAGGUGUGUGGGUGCUGCACUCAUUUAAGCCAGUUCUGUGAGUAGUGGGACUGUUUAAGUCUGGUCGUGUGUGCAUUGGUAUUUCAUGAUUGAUAGAUGAGAAAUGCAAGUUCCUGUUUUAAGAGUGUGUCUGUUUGGGCCACAUACGAUAGUUCUGUCCUACAGACAGUGUAAUUGUAAUUGAGAUUAACUUUACAAACAUGUUUGAUUCAGGGCUCCAAACAGAAUGAGAAAUCACCAGCAGACAGAUUGCCACAUCCACAAGAGUUUACAGUGCAGUACCACUGAUGACUUACUUCCACAAGAAACCAAGGCAAAAAGGAGACGCUUGCAUUUGUGUUCGUUUCACUUGGAAUGCCAUGCCAUGAGACAGGAAUUUAGGACUACAGGGGCUUUCUAUGCCCCAUCCCAUGGGAAGGGAGUGAGUGAGCAGCUGCGUGGGACUCAGUUGCUGGCUGGGGUUAAAUCACGACAGCACUCAAAUCUGCAGUGCCAGAAGGGAGAAGUGCUUGUGCCAGUUGACAGGAACUGGACCACUGGAUGUCUGGCAGCUACUGUUCCACCAACACCCAAGCUCAUCACCUGCAUGAUCCUCUCAUCAGAAAAAUACCCCAGAAGUCAGCAUCAGGAAAUCCAUCACACAGUGAGACCUGGAGAAGUUAGCUGUUGGUGUAUUGCAGAGCACUGCUGCCGUCUAGUGAGUCAGAGUUAAUAAAAUAAGGUGGUAAACCAACAUGUGACUUACAAAGAGCUUCCCCCACUAAUGGGAGUUACCCAGGGUCCCAGAGAUGCUCCUUAUGUGUUGUUUAUGCCCAGUAGUAAAGUCUUGCAUUGCCUCAGUAGUGCUAGCUGAAAUGGUGCUCUGUGAUAAUAGAAUAAAAGCUGUUGAGGAGUUUUGUUGCCUGUACUUACAUAUCUCUGGGUUGUAUUCUUUAAUCUCUCUCCCCUCUCUCUCCCAUACCAGUGUUAUUUAUAGGAGCAAUUCUUCACUCAGCUGAAAAUAAAGGAAACCUUGAAAACACCUCAAGACAGGCUGAUUAUGAAUAAAUAGGGAUGUUAGCAUAGCAGGCAAAAAAACUCCCCAGUGUAAAUCCACUUAUUUCAGCCACACCA